AUGGCGGGGCACUUGCUGGUGGCGGUGACGGGGAGGAGGAGAAGAUGGUGGGAGGCGCCAUUGUUUGCGGCGGAGCAGCGCGCGACGCUGGUUAACGUGAAGCUGAAGUUGGUCAAGGAUCCGGCGCUCGACGGGGCGUUGUCGCGGCAGCGCCACCUCCGCGCUGCCCACCACCUGCUCGACCUCGCGUCCUCGCGGCCCGGCCACCGCAUCUCGUGCCCCGAGCUCCUCGCCGACAAGUCCGUCCACAGGAUGUUUGGCUCCGCGGCCGCUGCGCUCGCCUUCCUCCGCAGAUACCACACCCUGUUCGCGCUCUCCCGCCGCGGUGGAGGCGGCGUGUCCCUCACGGACGCAGCGCUCGGCCUCCGGUGCCGGGAACUGGACUGCCUGGACGCCUCGGGGCCCGACCUGCUCGCUCGCCUUCGCCGCCUCCUCAUGCUCACCCUGCCGCGGUCGCUCCCGCUCCACACUGUCGACCUUCUCCGCUGGGACUUGGGCCUGCCCCGCGACUACCGCGCAUCAAUCCUCGGUCGCCACCCUGACCACUUCGCCCUUAGGCAGCCCGAGGGUGACGAGCGCAUCUGGCUCCACCUCCUCUCCUGGGAUGACCGUCUGGCUGUCUCGGAACUCGAGAAGGCUGCGGCGGGCGGCGACACCACCUGCCUCCCAUUUCCGGUGAGCUUCACGAGGGGGUUUGGCCUGAGGAGCAAGUCUAUGGACUGGCUGAAGGAGUGGCAGACGCUUCCAUACACUAACCCGUACGCCGACGCCUCCGGCCUUGACCGUCGCACUGAUGUGUCAGAGAAGCGGAAUGUCGGAGUGUUCCAUGAGCUGCUGCACCUCACAUUGGCAAGGAGGACAGAGCGCCACAACGUGAGCAACAUGAGGAUGCUUCUUGGCAUGCCACAGAAGUUUACCAAGGUAUUUGAGCGUCACCCGGGCAUUUUUUACCUUUCAAGGAUACAUGGCACACAGACAGUUGUACUCAGAGAAGCUUACGGUGGCACGAGCCAGCUGCUUGAGAAGCAUGCACAUCCACUUGUUGCUAUCAGGGAGGAGUAUGCCACCAUGAUGAGGGCUGCAUUGCCACCAAGGAAAAGCAGAGAAAGCUGCAACUAUUGUGGUGAACUGGACGAGGAAAGUGAGGGAGAAGAAGGAACUGAACUCUCUUAA
Molecule: ribosomal RNA, 1173 nt
Filed under: Triticum aestivum (bread wheat)
Lineage: Eukaryota; Viridiplantae; Streptophyta; Magnoliopsida; Poales; Poaceae
Description: partial small subunit ribosomal RNA
Source: RNAcentral